GACGAACGCUGGCGGCGUGCCUAAUACAUGCAAGUAGAACGCACAGUUUAUACCGUAGCUUGCUACACCAUAAACUGUGAGUUGCGAACGGGUGAGUAACGCGUAGGUAACCUGCCUGGUAGCGGGGGAUAACUAUUGGAAACGAUAGCUAAUACCGCAUAAUAUUAAUUAUUGCAUGAUAAUUGAUUGAAAGAUGCAAUUGCAUCACUACCAGAUGGACCUGCGUUGUAUUAGCUAGUAGGUGAGGUAACGGCUCACCUAGGCGACGAUACAUAGCCGACCUGAGAAGGUGAUCGGCCACACUGGGACUGAGACACUGCCCAGACUCCUACGGGAGGCAGCAGUAGGGAAUCUUCGGCAAUUGACGAAAGUCUGACCGAGCAACGCCGCGUGAGUGAAGAAGGUUUUCGGAUCGAAAAGCUCUGUUGUAAGAGAAGAACGGGUGUGAGAGUGGAAAGUUCACACUGUGACGGUAUCUUACCAGAAAGGGACGGCUAACUACGUG
RNAcentral lists this ribosomal RNA (505 nucleotides) under uncultured bacterium. Its description in RNAcentral is "partial 16S ribosomal RNA". It matches the Rfam family "Bacterial small subunit ribosomal RNA", at positions 28 to 507 of the family's 1533-position model. The record is from RNAcentral.